RNAcentral lists this ribosomal RNA (460 nucleotides) under uncultured bacterium. Its description in RNAcentral is "bacterial SSU rRNA". It matches the Rfam family "Bacterial small subunit ribosomal RNA", at positions 86 to 518 of the family's 1533-position model. The record is from RNAcentral.
GAGAAGAUAGUGGCGAACGGGUAGGAGUAACACGUGGGGUAACCUAGCCCACUAAGAAGGGGGGAGUAACAAUCCGGAAACGGGUAGGCUAAUACCGCAUAGUUUUCUUGAUUGCAUGAUUGAGAAAGGAAAGACGGCCUUUGUGCUGUCGCUUAUGGAUGGACCCGCGGCGUAUUAGUUAGUUGGUGAGGUAACGGCUCACCAAGACGAUGAUACGUAGCCGACCUGAGAGGGUGAUCGGCCACAUUGGGACUGAGACACGGCCCAAACUCCUACGGGAGGCAGCAGUAGGGAAUCUUCCGCAAUGGACGAAAGUCUGACGGAGCAACGCCGCGUGAGUGAAAGAAGGUUUUCGGAUCGUAAAACUCUGUUGUCAGAGAAGAACAAGUUGGAGAGUAACUGCUCCAGCCUUGACGGUAUCUGACCAGAAAGCCACGGCUAACUACGUGCCAGCCGCCGC